This 2293-nucleotide unclassified non-coding RNA is filed under the name Apis dorsata (giant honeybee). Its description in RNAcentral is "probable nuclear hormone receptor HR3, transcript variant X7". Lineage: Eukaryota; Metazoa; Arthropoda; Insecta; Hymenoptera; Apidae. The record is from RNAcentral.
UCGGGUUCUUCAUACAGCCGCGAGGUUCAUCAAACCCCCGAAAUAUUCUAAUGCGCCAGUCGCACGGUGUUUCCGCGAGUUUUCCCCGCCGGGCCCGUAGCAGGAAGCGUGGCCGCGUGACAUCGGAUAACGAACGCGUACCGCGUGUCGCUUUUGCCGCUCGAUUCGGACGGACGAUUGGAUCGUUGCGGUGUACGCGUUGGUGCGCGAGACUCCCGAAAUUACCGCGGAGGAAGGAAACGUGGAGGCAUCGUGACUACGUGUGCGCUCUCGUACAUGAGUACACGUGUGCGUGCGUGCUUGCGUGCGGGCGCGUGCAUGCGUGCGUGCCAGUGGUCCCGCUUGGCCGAGGAGUACGUUCGCCUCCGUCGUUUCUCCGCUCGCGUUACACCAGCAUUUUCCUCGUUCGGCUCUCUUCCUUUCUUUCUUCGCACUCUCCAUUCUCCUUUCUCCCCUUUCUCUGUCUCCCGUGACCGUUGCUCCAGCACUCUACUCGUCACCUCUUCUCGGGCGCACCGUGCACGCUUCGAGACGCUGUGCUUCUUCUGUGCGUCUCGAAAUUUCACCAGCCCGAAGAAACUCGAUGUGUUUUCGUGUACGGCUGUCGGUCGAACUUCACAACGGAACAAGGAAGAGGAGAACGAUGAUCGUGUCGAGGAUGUGUUACCGGGACAAGCUUGCCCCGCCGUUCAACGUCGCAUUUCGUUCGUGUUAAGUGCAGCCAACAAAGUGAUCAUCAUCGUGGCUGGAAAGGCUCCAGCCCAGAUCGAAAUAAUCCCGUGCAAGGUGUGUGGCGACAAGAGCAGCGGUGUUCAUUAUGGCGUGAUCACCUGCGAGGGCUGCAAAGGCUUCUUCAGGCGGUCCCAGUCGUCGGUCGUCAACUAUCAAUGUCCGCGGAACAAGAAUUGCGUGGUCGACCGUGUAAACAGAAACCGGUGCCAGUACUGUCGGUUGCAAAAGUGCCUACGCCUCGGCAUGUCUAGAGAUGCCGUUAAAUUCGGGCGCAUGUCGAAGAAGCAGCGGGAGAAGGUCGAGGACGAAGUUAGGUUCCACAAGGCACAAAUGAGAGCGGCCUCCGAGACUGCGCCCGACAGCAGUGUGUUUGAACAUCAGACCCCAAGCAGUUCGGAUCAGCAUCAUCCUUUCAAUGGCGGGUAUACGUAUGGCGGUAGUGAAUACGCUUCCCCUGGCCCCGGCACGGGUGGGUCGGGUUAUUACAAUCAUCAAGCGAUGACGAACUACGAGCUUAGCGCCGACUACGUCGACAGCACGACGACCUACGAUCCACGACCGACGCAGACGCAGGUCGCGGACACUGUCGCCCCUGAUACGCCCUCCGCUGUCACAGCGGCUGGGGUACUUCCCAGCGUGGUCACCACCGAUCCGGCACAGAUCAGCGAGCUGCUCUCAAAAACGAUAGCGGAUGCACACGCAAGAACGUGUCUGCUGUCGACGGAACAGAUCCAGGAAUCUUUCCGGAAGCCGCACGACCUCUCCAGAUUGAUCUACUACAAGAACAUGGCGCACGAGCAGCUCUGGCUCGAGUGUGCCCAAAAACUAACCACCGUUAUCCAGCAGAUCAUCGAGUUCGCCAAGAUGGUUCCUGGAUUCAUGAAGCUCUCGCAGGACGACCAGAUUGUUCUAUUAAAGGCUGGUUCCUUCGAGUUGGCUGUGCUACGUAUGAGCAGGUACCUCGAUCUCCAGCAGAACUGUGUCCUCUAUGGUGACACUAUGUUGCCUCAGGACGCGUUUUACACGACAGAUACGGCGGAAAUGAAGCUUGUCUCUUGCGUGUUUGAGUUGGCCAGGAGUAUUGCCGAAUUGAAGCUUACGGAAACAGAGCUGGCUCUUUACAGUGCAGCGGUUCUCCUUAGCCCCGAUCGGCCGGGGUUGAAAGGGCUCGCGGAAAUCACGAGACUGUCCCAGGCGGUGAUCAGGGCGCUCAGGUCGGAGCUGGAUCGUAACCACGUGUCGCCCAUAAAGGGCGACGUGACGGUGUGCGACGCGAUCCUUGCCAAGAUACCACAGCUCCGCGAGAUCUCCCUGUUGCACAUGGACGCCCUGGCGAAGUUCAAACGGUCCCAGCCGCACCUCGAGUUCCCGGCCCUUCACAAAGAGCUUUUCAGCGUCGACAGCUGAACGAUCGACGCGGCGCAGGGCGUCCCGACGCUGACGAACAAAGCGGUACGCGAGUAGCGCCGGGCCUUGCUCUGUCAAGAUUAUUUCCUUCGUAAAGAACGUAUUGGGCCUUAAAUAAACAUAACAUUGUUAUAUAUAAAGUAUACAUAAAAAA